UACGUAGGGGGCUAGCGUUGUCCGGAUUUAUUGGGCGUAAAGAGCGUGUAGGCGGCCUGACAGGUCUGCUGUGAAAACUCGAGGCUCAACCUCGAGAUGUCGGCGGAAACCGUCUGGCUAGAGUCCGGAAGAGGAGAGUGGAAUUCCUGGUGUAGCGGUGAAAUGCGCAGAUAUCAGGAAGAACACCUAUGGCGAAGGCAGCUCCCUGGGACGGUACUGACGCUGAGACGCGAAAGCGUGGGGAGCGAACAGG
This 253-nucleotide ribosomal RNA is filed under the name uncultured bacterium. Its description in RNAcentral is "partial 16S ribosomal RNA". It matches the Rfam family "Bacterial small subunit ribosomal RNA", at positions 524 to 776 of the family's 1533-position model. The record is from RNAcentral.